GGUAUUCGAGGGCAAACCUGCCGAAAGGCAGCGACGCAAAGCCUCCGGCCUGUCGCGUGCAAACGCUACGGUAGCGGGGUCGCCAGU
Molecule: non-coding RNA, 87 nt
Filed under: Amantichitinum ursilacus
Lineage: Bacteria; Pseudomonadati; Pseudomonadota; Betaproteobacteria; Neisseriales; Chitinibacteraceae
Description: c-di-GMP sequence
Rfam family: c-di-GMP-I riboswitch aptamer
About the family: GEMM was predicted in a large-scale screen for bacterial structured RNA regulatory elements. Genes associated with GEMM are involved in a diverse array of functions, including chemotaxis regulation, signal transduction, secretion and chitin.
Source: Rfam by way of RNAcentral